RNAcentral lists this ribosomal RNA (422 nucleotides) under Verrucomicrobiota bacterium. RNAcentral describes it as "Verrucomicrobia bacterium partial 16S ribosomal RNA". It matches the Rfam family "Bacterial small subunit ribosomal RNA", at positions 355 to 776 of the family's 1533-position model. Lineage: Bacteria; Pseudomonadati; Verrucomicrobiota. The record is from RNAcentral.
UGGGGAAUUUUGCACAAUGGGCGCAAGCCUGAUGCAGCGACGCCGCGUGAGGGAUGAAGGCCUUCGGGUUGUAAACCUUUUUCGCUCAUGGUCAAGCCGCAGCUUUGGGUUGUGGUGAGGGUAGUGGGUAAAGAAGCGCCGGCUAACUACGUGCCAGCAGCCGCGGUAAUACGUAGGGCGCGAGCGUUGUCCGGAAUUAUUGGGCGUAAAGGGCUUGUAGGCGGUUGGCCGCGUCUGCCGUGAAAUCCUCUGGCUUAACUGGGGGCGUGCGGUGGGUACGGGUUGACUUGAGUGCGGUAGGGGAGACUGGAAUUCCUGGUGUAGCGAUGGAAUGCGCAGAUAUCAGGAGGAACACCGGUGGCGAAGGCGGGUCUCUGGGCCGUUACUGACGCUGAGGAGCGAAAGCGUGGGGAGCGAACAGG